UUCCCCCAUGCUUUGGGCAUAACAUGAGUUCUUUUCUUCUUAAAAGGGAAACAACAAAUAGGAGAAAAUUGGUUAACUCUUAUCCUUCAACCUUUUUGUAAACUGAUCCUCCUUCCUCAGAUACACCAUCCUCUUCCAAAGCACAAAAUAUGGCCAUCCACGAGGUGUCUGACACUUUCAAAGAAAUCUGAAAAUGGGGGCACUUGUCCCUCUGUAGCACCUGGCGCUUGUUUCUUCAAAUUCUGGGAGUAGUAUCCCAAGAUGACACAGUCCUUGUU
RNAcentral lists this long non-coding RNA (278 nucleotides) under Lathyrus oleraceus (garden pea). Its description in RNAcentral is "Pisum sativum (pea) long non-coding RNA (PSAT_LNC038717)". Lineage: Eukaryota; Viridiplantae; Streptophyta; Magnoliopsida; Fabales; Fabaceae. The record is from RNAcentral.